CGUAGCCGCGGGAAUACGUAGGGUGCGAGCGUUAAUCGGAAUUACUGGGCGUAAAGCGUGCGCAGGCGGUUUUGUAAGACAGGCGUGAAAUCCCCGGGCUCAACCUGGGAAUGGCGCUUGUGACUGCAAAGCUAGAGUGCGGCAGAGGGGGAUGGAAUUCCACGUGUAGCAGUGAAAUGCGUAGAGAUGUGGAGGAACACCGAUGGCGAAGGCAGCCCCCUGGGCCAAUACUGACGCUCAUGCACGAAAGCGUGGGGAGCAAACAGGAUUAGAUACCCGCGUAGUCCCUGUCUCUUAUACC
RNAcentral lists this ribosomal RNA (301 nucleotides) under uncultured bacterium. Its description in RNAcentral is "partial 16S ribosomal RNA". It matches the Rfam family "Bacterial small subunit ribosomal RNA", at positions 510 to 808 of the family's 1533-position model. The record is from RNAcentral.